This 449-nucleotide ribosomal RNA is filed under the name uncultured bacterium. RNAcentral describes it as "partial 16S ribosomal RNA". It matches the Rfam family "Bacterial small subunit ribosomal RNA", at positions 29 to 523 of the family's 1533-position model. The record is from RNAcentral.
AACGAACGCUGGCGGCAGGCUUAACACAUGCAAGUCGAGCGCAUCCUUCGGGGUGAGCGGCAGACGGGUGAGUAACGCGUGGGAACGUACCCUUUCCUACGGAAUAGCUCCGGGAAACUGGAAUUUAUACCGUAUACGCCCUUAGGGGGAACGAUUUAUCGGGGAAGGAUCGGCCCGCGUUGGAUUAGCUAGUUGGUGGGGUAAAGGCCUACCAAGGCGACGAUCCAUAGCUGGUCUGAGAGGAUGAUCAGCCACAUUGGGACUGAGACACGGCCCAAACCCCUACGGGAGGCAGCAGUGGGGAAUAUUGGACAAUGGGCGCAAGCCUGAUCCAGCCAUGCCGCGUGAGUGAUGAAGGCCUUAGGGUUGUAAAGCUCUUUCAGUAGGGAAGAUAAUGACGGUACCUACAGAAGAAGCCCCGGCUAACUUCGUGCCAGCAGCCGCCGUAA